Molecule: long non-coding RNA, 603 nt
Organism: Eupeodes corollae
Lineage: Eukaryota; Metazoa; Arthropoda; Insecta; Diptera; Syrphidae
Exons: 2
Source: RefSeq, a predicted model, not a curated record
UAUUGUUGUGAAAUAAAUCAUAUAAUUCUGAAAAAUGUGUAAUUGUAAAUUUUAAUUGAGAGUUUAUUGAUCCGAAGAUUAAGUGUUCAAGUGGUCUGUCGGCUGAUUCGAAGUUAAGAGCAUAUUAUGACCUUGAUAAGGCGAUAUCAUCAUAAAAGGGAAAGAAAAGACUUCCUUUUCUGAAAUAAAAGAGUUUUGAUUUAAAGAUUUACAAGAAAAUCUUAACAUUCCAAGUUUCUACUUCUACAUAAAAACAUUCCCAAUUUUUAAAGACGAUGGAUUUCUUAAAAGUUAUAAUUGUUCUCGUUUUUGGUCUUACAUUAAGCUGUGUUUACUCCUUUGAAAUUCCAAAGGAAUGCCUUGGAAUAGAACCAAAUGCGAUUGGAGUUUGCCGUAAGGUAUUUUUCGGUUAUUAUUUCAAUAAUAUCACAAAGAAAUGUCAAAAAUAUGAAACAUUUGGAUGUUAUUUGGAGAACGGAAGUGCCAAUAGUUUUCACACGUUGAGGGAAUGUGUCAAGAAGUGCAAGAAGCCAUCAAGCAAGCUGUCAAAUAGUUCGACCUGAUUCUUUAAUAAAAUGAACUGAUUUAAACAAAUUUAAUGCA